Onychostoma macrolepis is the source of this 1079-nucleotide long non-coding RNA. RefSeq lists it as uncharacterized. The record is from RefSeq and is a predicted model, not a curated record. NCBI's taxonomy places the organism in Eukaryota, Metazoa, Chordata, Actinopteri, Cypriniformes, Cyprinidae. The transcript has 4 exons.
UUUUAGAAAAUAUUUCAAGUACUGUGCAUCAUAAUGUGAUGGUAUAUUCAUCAAACUGAAACGAGUUACUUGUUGCAUAUGUAGCUAAUAGACCUAAUAAAACGAUCAGAUACGCUUUACACUGCAAUGUUAUUUGUAGUGUGAUUAACUAAAUUUAAACAAUAUAGGGACAGUAUUGAUAUAUGCACGAAUUAAAUCCUAGCAGAUGUGUAGAAUUAAAUUAGCUGUAAUUGAAGUCAAAUGUUCCCUAUUCUGAAAUUGUUGUAACGCUAUGUCUUUGACGUGUCUCUGCCUCACUAUUAAUGUUUUUGUUGUCUUUUUCUACACAGUUUAAAGUUUGACACCAGAGCAAAUGUGCAAAACUUACAUUUUGGAAUUUGGGGCUGGAGAUACAUUUGUAAGACUAACUUUAACUCCAACUGAUUUCAGAAGUUGGCAUAGCUCAGUGUGUUCUCAUUUUCAAUGUGUGGUCUUUUUCAUGAUUUGGAUUUGAGUGAUGGAUUGGAAGUGCAGGUUAUGCGAUUCCUCCUCACCUACCCGAGCAGGGUUACUUAGGCAUUAUGGUUUGCAUCAUAGCCAUUUUUCAAAGCAGAUAAUCUUGCAGCUCACGGAUUGGCAGGCUUUGUACAGUCAUUUCGUUCUGAGUAUGUGUGCAGAUUCUGUCUGGCAACUCAAGACCAGUUUAAAUCGCAGGAAGUUGCUGAGGGUGAAUUCAGUCUGAGAACUAAGCAUAAAAGGCCAGUUGCUGUUGACACCAAAGCGAUUUCUACCAUUACAAUAAGAUGGCGGAAUCCCAGAAACUUGUACUGAGAGUUUACAUUGCUCCUGACAUUGCCCACAAGAUGACCCUUUCUACACGCCCAAGUACAGUAGAAGAGUUGAUUACAGUGAUUAAAGAGAAAUUCAGACCUCGUCUUGAUUUUGAUUUCAGCCUCCAAUAUGAAGACCCAGACUUUGGGGGGGAACUCUGCUUUCUAACAGACAUUUCAGAACUGCCGGAGAAAGCUGUAUUGAAAGUACACAGAUCUGAGACUGAAGCCAGCUCAACUGCAACUUCAGACACCGAAAUACUUCCUUAU